Pelobates cultripes (western spadefoot toad) is the source of this 309-nucleotide non-coding RNA. The record is from the annotation of a GenBank genome assembly. Lineage: Eukaryota; Metazoa; Chordata; Amphibia; Anura; Pelobatidae.
AUAAGUAACAGAUGGUAUCAAUAAGUCACAAGGCUUUCUUUGUCCGAGAGCUCUGGAAUGUGGAUUCGGGGGUCUUGUCCUUAUAUGGCUAGAGGUAAACGCUGACGUUAGUAUUAGCACUUCUAUAUAGUAACAGAGGGACACGAAGUCUCUGUCUUGGUUUGAGUCUUGGCUCUGUACAACGAUGUAACUCUUCCAUCAGAAGUCCAGCAAUUACCAUCUGCUGUUGAAUGUCCAUAAUCCUGUAACAUCCUUUAUUAUGUAUCCGUAACAAAGAAUAAACCUGAAGAAACCGUAAGUCAGAUUGCG